UACGUAGGGGGCAAGCGUUGUCCGGAUUUAUUGGGCGUAAAGAGCGUGUAGGCGGCCUGAAAGGUCAGCUGUGAAAACUCGAGGCUCAACCUCGAGACGUCGGUUGAAACCAUCUGGCUAGAGUCCGGAAGAGGAGAGUGGAAUUCCCGGUGUAGCGGUGAAAUGCGCAGAUAUCGGGAGGAACACCAGUGGCGAAGGCGGUUGCCUGGAGCUUUGCUGACGCUGAGGAGCGAAAGCAUGGGGAGCGAACAGG
This 253-nucleotide ribosomal RNA is filed under the name uncultured bacterium. RNAcentral's name for it is "partial 16S ribosomal RNA". It matches the Rfam family "Bacterial small subunit ribosomal RNA", at positions 524 to 776 of the family's 1533-position model. The record is from RNAcentral.